Molecule: ribosomal RNA, 497 nt
Filed under: uncultured bacterium
Lineage: Bacteria
Description: partial 16S ribosomal RNA
Rfam family: Bacterial small subunit ribosomal RNA
Source: RNAcentral
GAUGAACGCUGGCGGCGUGCCUAAUACAUGCGAGUCGAGCGAACAGACGAGGAGCUUGCUCCUCUGACGUUAGCGGCGGACGGGUGAGUAACACGUGGAUAACCUACCUAUAAGACAGGGAUAACUUCGGGAAACCGGAGCUAAUACCGGAUAAUAUAUUGAACCGCAUGGUUCAAUAGUGAAAGACGGUUUUGCUGUCACUUAUAGAUGGAUCCGCGCCGCAUUAGCUAGUUGGUAAGGUAACGGCUUACCAAGGCAACGAUGCGUAGCCGACCUGAGAGGGUGAUCGGCCACACUGGAACUGAGACACGGUCCAGACUCCUACGGGAGGCAGCAGUAGGGAAUCUUCCGCAAUGGGCGAAAGCCUGACGGAGCAACGCCGCGUGAGUGAUGAAGGUCUUCGGAUCGUAAAACUCUGUUAUUAGGGAAGAACAAAUGUGUAAGUAACUAUGCACGUCUUGACGGUACCUAAUCAGAAAGCCACGGCUAACUACGUG